This 226-nucleotide unclassified non-coding RNA is filed under the name Hevea brasiliensis (rubber tree). Lineage: Eukaryota; Viridiplantae; Streptophyta; Magnoliopsida; Malpighiales; Euphorbiaceae. The record is from RNAcentral.
GGAAAUUAUAGGCUUGAUCCGUUCCGUAUAGUCGAUGAAGUGUAAAUCCAUAGCCUGUAUAUGGUCAGGUUCACCGCCGGUUCACAAAGUCACCGCCGUCGCCGCACUAAACAAUCCUCCGACUCUCUACACCGGCGGUUCCGAUGGCUCCAUCAUCUGGUGGAAUAUCUCCUCAUCGGAGAUCACACCUGUUGCCAUGCUUUGUGGUCAUGUUGCUCCAAUAGCG